UUCAUUUUGACGGAUAACUGAUAAAUCGAGAUGUAGAAUCGAGGUGUUUGUUUUUGUUAUUGAUUUUUCGGAAACAGUGUAUUAUUUAUAUCAGUGGUGGUAUCACAAUAAUAAAAUUUAAGAAAAAUAAGUCUGUUCUGGUUGUGCAAACGUAUAAAAAUGUACGACAUGUGGGAUAACAACAUGUAUCACCAAACUAACGUCCACGAAUAUUCUGCCGAAUUGCAGAAUGAGAAUAACAAUAAUAUUGAGUACAAAACGAGGCCUAAAACUCCAGAAAUAUAUCCUGAAAAUCAAAUAAUUACAAGCUUUGAUGAUUUAAAAAUUACCGAAUGGCCUGGUGAAAUAGAAAUACAGGAAUUCAUAAACAAUAGCCCAAGUGCGAACCCUGAAGAAAAAGACAAAGAAAAAGAUGAAAAAAAGAAAAGGGCUAAGAAAACAAAAGAAGUGAAAGAAUUAAAGAAACUUAGAACAGUACAUGAACCUAUCUGUAUCCAUCACAUUCCACUGGAACCUGAAGAAUUGAACUCACUCGCCUUCGCUCCAGUUCUAAAAAGAAAAAAGAAACGAGAAGGAUGCUUUUCACCUGAUGGUUUAGUAAUCGAUACAAACCCUGAAAUGGAUGGUUACGACUCCGAUGAAACCGUUAACAAAUAUGUAAAUGAAUAUUUACUUUAUGUGGCUGGUGGAGUGUGGUGAAGAAGGUAUGUGCAAGUGUCGCAGGAUGCGAGGCAGGGAUUACUAUGAAGAUUACUUACUAAUGGAGUGCCGCGAUUAUAUUAAAUUUUAUUCCCAUGGGAAGCGUGAAUUUUCUUAUGGAACAGUUUUACACUUUACCGGAGCCCCAGAAGACUUGAGCAGGGAAGAUCUAUAUAUAGCACUGCUGGAACUAGGUGCAACCAUUGAAUUUUUGGACUAUCAACAAGGUGAUCCUGAGGGAUGGAUUCGGCUCAAUUAUCCUUAUGAAGCCAGAAUUGUAAUCAAGAAAAUGGAAGACAAAAAAUUUAGAAUUGGUAACGCAGAAUUAAUAUUCAAUGUUUUAUCUGGAAAAGAACAAAAAAAGUAUUUGAAAAAUGUCUCAAAAGCAAUUUUUACGCUUCAAGAAGUGGGAAAAAAUAGAAAAAUGGAGAAAAGUGGUUUUAGAUAUUCGUAAAGUAUUAAUAAUGUAAAAAAUAAAUUGAGUAUGAUAGGCACAUUUUUUUGAAUUACAAAUAUUUUAUAAGAUCUUUGUGCUCAGCUGUAGCGCUCGCGACUACUAUUUGGACCAAAGCGACAGUAAAAUAUAUUUUAAUACUCAAUAACUUGCACAAUAGGCUAUUUGACAGUAUGAAAAAUAAAGUAUUAUUAAAAGCUACAUACGUAAAUUAUGACUUUAAAAAGCGUUAUUGAGUAAAACAAAUUUAUAUAUGUAUUUAUAAUGGUUUAUUUAAAAAAAAACUUAUCUUAAAUCUUUAUACCCCAACCAGGGAUACAAAACGGUCAAGUUUGGUGAAUCGAUUGUGACGUAACCUGCAUGUUUCUUGUAAUAAUCUUAUUACGGUUUUGGUGUUUAUUUUAUUCAGAAACUGUUUGAAAGGCAUUAUUUAUACAAAAACCAAUUACAUAUUAUUUGUUUUUAAAUCGCAGUAUGGUACGUUUAUCGACCAGAAAACUUGAUGUUGGUUACUUAUUGAUAGUGACCUCACUUGCUUGUGCGGGGCGCUAUCUUGCACGAAGAAGCCGUUUUGCGGGUUAUUCAAAAUAUUAUUGUUAAAUUCGAAUGUUUACGUCCAAUUUUUAAUCAAUUUAAAAAUAACUCAUGUUAAUGGAAUUUUGUCAAAUGGCCUAUUCUCAAAAUAAAUAGAUACCUUCCAUAGUAAGUAUUUACCUACUAAUUUAUUAUUAACAGCCAAAUCAAACCUUUUUAAAAAUCUUAUAGAUUUUUAAGGAUGUUUGCCAUCUGGCCGUGCACGAGUCAGUGCCGACAAUAAUUAUGUUAGCGCUGAGCCAUUAUUUUUGUUGACUUUUUUCAUUGUUUAAUCGAAUUUAAGAACCUGUCCAGAAGAAAAAAAAAAUUAUUUGAUACACUUAUUGUAAAAACAGCCUUAAACUUUCUGAUGUAUAUGUGUGUGUGUGUAUGUGUCAUUAUUAUUAAUUUUCUUGUAUUUGUAACUUUAUUGUGGCAAAAAGACAAAUUAAGUCAAUUAAUUAGUGUUUUUUUUAAUACUUUAUUAUACAAUAUGUACUAUUUUUUGUUUAUGUGAAACAUGGAAUUGGUAUUUUUAUGUAAAUAGGUAAUCUGUGUACAGAAAUUCAAAACUUACGAUAAAAAAUCACCAUUAUAAUCUGUCUUAAGCUGAAUAAAGUUCAAAUGUUGAUCGCAGAGAUCAAAUA
Molecule: RNA transcript, 2373 nt
Organism: Spodoptera frugiperda (fall armyworm)
Lineage: Eukaryota; Metazoa; Arthropoda; Insecta; Lepidoptera; Noctuidae
Exons: 3
Source: RefSeq, a predicted model, not a curated record